CUGGCGGCAGGCCUAACACAUGCAAGUCGAGCGGUAACAGAUUGAUAGCUUGCUAUCAAUGCUGACGAGCGGCGGACGGGUGAGUAAUGCCUGGGAAUAUGCCCUGAUGUGGGGGAUAACUAUUGGAAACGAUAGCUAAUACCGCAUAAUCUCUUCGGAGCAAAGAGGGGGACCUUCGGGCCUCUCGCGUCAGGAUUAGCCCAGGUGGGAUUAGCUUGUUGGUGGGGUAAUGGCUCACCAAGGCGACGAUCCCUAGCUGGUCUGAGAGGAUGAUCAGCCACACUGGAACUGAGACACGGUCCAGACUCCUACGGGAGGCAGCAGUGGGGAAUAUUGCACAAUGGGGGAAACCCUGAUGCAGCCAUGCCGCGUGUAUGAAGAAGGCCUUCGGGUUGUAAAGUACUUUCAGUUGUGAGGAAGGCAGUAAAGUUAAUAGCUUUAUUGUUUGACGUUAGCAACAGAAGAAGCACCGGCUAACUCCGUGCCAGCAGCCGCGGUAAUACGGAGGGUGCGAGCGUUAAUCGGAAUUACUGGGCGUAAAGCGCAUGCAGGUGGUNUGUUAAGCAAGAUGUGAAAGCCCGGGGCUCAACNUCGGAACAGCAUUUUGAACUGGCAGACUAAANUACUGUAGAGGGGGGUAGAAUUUCAGGUGUAGCGGUGAAAUGCGUAGAGAUCUGAAGGAAUACCGGUGGCGAAGGCGGCCCCCUGGACANAUACUUGACACUCAAAUGCCAAAAGCGUGGGGAGCAAACAGGAUUA
Molecule: ribosomal RNA, 759 nt
Filed under: marine gamma proteobacterium SWAT4
Lineage: Bacteria; Pseudomonadati; Pseudomonadota; Gammaproteobacteria
Description: bacterial SSU rRNA
Rfam family: Bacterial small subunit ribosomal RNA
Source: RNAcentral